UGGGGAAUAUUGCACAAUGGGCGCAAGCCUGAUGCAGCCAUGCCGCGUGUGUGAAGAAGGCCUUCGGGUUGUAAAGCACUUUCAGCGGGGAGGAAGGCGUUAAGGUUAAUAACCUUGGCGAUUGACGUUACCCGCAGAAGAAGCACCGGCUAACUCCGUGCCAGCAGCCGCGGUAAUACGGAGGGUGCAAGCGUUAAUCGGAAUUACUGGGCGUAAAGCGCACGCAGGCGGUCUGUCAAGUCGGAUGUGAAAUCCCCGGGCUCAACCUGGGAAAUGCAUUCGAAACUGGCAGGCUAGAGUCUUGUAGAGGGGGGUAGGAUUCCAGGUGUAGCGGUGAAAAGCGUAGGGAACUGGAGGAAAACCGGUGGCGAAGGCGGCCCCCUGGACAAAGACUGACGCUCAGGUGCGAAAGCGUGGGGAGCAAACAGG
Molecule: ribosomal RNA, 429 nt
Filed under: Chloroflexota bacterium
Lineage: Bacteria; Bacillati; Chloroflexota
Description: Chloroflexi bacterium partial 16S ribosomal RNA
Rfam family: Bacterial small subunit ribosomal RNA
Source: RNAcentral